GCGACCCCGGUUAGGCGGGGCUUCCGCUUAAUUUUACCUAUCAAUAA
RNAcentral lists this ribosomal RNA (47 nucleotides) under Opuntia cochenillifera. RNAcentral's name for it is "Nopalea cochenillifera partial 26S ribosomal RNA". Lineage: Eukaryota; Viridiplantae; Streptophyta; Magnoliopsida; Caryophyllales; Cactaceae. The record is from RNAcentral.